This 253-nucleotide ribosomal RNA is filed under the name uncultured bacterium. RNAcentral describes it as "partial 16S ribosomal RNA". It matches the Rfam family "Bacterial small subunit ribosomal RNA", at positions 524 to 776 of the family's 1533-position model. The record is from RNAcentral.
UACGAAGGGGGCUAGCGUUGCUCGGAAUGACUGGGCGUAAAGGGCGCGUAGGCGGCUCAUACAGUCAGAUGUGAAAUUCCUGGGCUUAACCUGGGGGCUGCAUUUGAUACGUGUGGGCUUGAGUGGGGAAGAGGGUCGUGGAAUUCCCAGUGUAGAGGUGAAAUUCGUAGAUAUCUGGAGGAACACCGGUGGCGAAGGCGGCAUCCUGGACCAACACUGACACUGAGGAGCGAAAGCCAGGGGAGCAAACGGG